Molecule: ribosomal RNA, 492 nt
Filed under: uncultured bacterium
Lineage: Bacteria
Description: partial 16S ribosomal RNA
Rfam family: Bacterial small subunit ribosomal RNA
Source: RNAcentral
AGUGAACGCUGGCGGUAGGCCUAACACAUGCAAGUCGAACGGCAGCACAGUAAGAGCUUGCUCUUACGGGUGGCGAGUGGUGGACGGGUGAGGAAUAUAUCGGAAUCUACUUUUUCGUGGGGGAUAACGUAGGGAAACUUACGCUAAUACCGCAUACGACCUACGGGUGAAAGCAGGGGAUCUUCGGACCUUGCGCGAUUGAAUGAGCCGAUGUCGGAUUAGCUAGUUGGCGGGGUAAAGGCCCACCAAGGCGACGAUCCGUAGCUAGUCUGAGAGGAUGAUCAGCCACACUGGAACUGAGACACGGUCCAGACUCCUACGGGAGGCAGCAGUGGGGAAUAUUGGACAAUGGGCGCAAGCCUGAUCCAGCCAUACCGCGUGGGUGAAGAAGGCCUUCGGGUUGUAAAGCCCUUUUGUUGGGAAAGAAAAGCAGCAGGUUAAUACCCCGCUGUUCUGACGGUACCCAAAGAAUAAGCACCGGCUAACUUCGUG